AACGCGAAGAACCUUACCUACUCUUGACAUCCAGAGAAUUCGCUAGAGAUAGCUUAGUGCCUUCGGGAACUCUGAGACAGGUGCUGCAUGGCUGUCGUCAGCUCGUGUUGUGAAAUGUUGGGUUAAGUCCCGCAACGAGCGCAACCCUUAUCCUUUGUUGCCAGCACGUAAUGGUGGGAGCUCAAAGGAGACUGCCGGUGAUAAACCGGAGGAAGGUGGGGAUGACGUCAAGUCAUCAUGGCCCUUACGAGUAGGGCUACACACGUGCUACAAUGGCAUAUGCAAAGAGAAGCAAACUCGCGAGAGCAAGCGGACCUCAUAAAGUAUGUCGUAGUCCGGAUUGGAGUCUGCAACUCGACUCCAUGAAGUCGGAAUCGCUAGUAAUCGUAGAUCAGAAUGCUACGGUGAAUACGUUCCCGGGUCUUGUACACACCG
RNAcentral lists this ribosomal RNA (435 nucleotides) under uncultured bacterium. Its description in RNAcentral is "bacterial SSU rRNA". It matches the Rfam family "Bacterial small subunit ribosomal RNA", at positions 958 to 1392 of the family's 1533-position model. The record is from RNAcentral.